RNAcentral lists this long non-coding RNA (768 nucleotides) under Homo sapiens (human). Its description in RNAcentral is "non-protein coding lnc-GLIS3-2:4". Lineage: Eukaryota; Metazoa; Chordata; Mammalia; Primates; Hominidae. The record is from RNAcentral.
GGGGUCGGCCCCCAGAAGCAUUCCCCGGCCCAGGACGAGGAUGAACAGGACAGGCGAGGCACAAAGUCGCAACUGAACUUUUUAGAAACAUUAUUUGUGUGUGUAUGUGUGUAGCAGGGGAGAAUGAGCUGAUGCCGAGGGUCCAGCCACCCCGCCUCUGCCUCCUCCUCCCCCUGCCGCCGCUGCCCUCGCAGACGCGCGCGCACACACGGCACUUGGGCCGGGUUUCCGCGCUCCGUCCCCCCGUUUGGAUGGGGGUUUUCAUUUCCGAAGGAGGCACAGCCCGCGGAGCGCUCUGAAGGGCUGGAGCCCCAAGUUACUCCUCGCCAGCGCCGGCCGCCCGCUGUCACUCGCGCUGGCCGGCCGGGGGAAGGGACCCGCACGCCGGGCUUUGUUGUGGAAAUCCCGGUUACCUGGUCCCUUAUUUCGCGUGAGUCUUUGGCGUCCACGACCUUGAGUCUGACGGAAAGUCAGUCGGCCUCAAGCAUGAAGCAGGAGUGGUCCCAGGGCUACAGGGCCCUCCCUUCGCUCUCCAACCACGGCUCUCAGAAUGGCCUUGAUCUAGGGGAUCUCCUUAGCCUUCCUCCCGGGACAUCCAUGUCCAGCAAUAGUGUCUCUAACUCAUUACCAUCCUACCUUUUUGGCACGGAAAGUAGCCACUCUCCUUACCCUAGUCCUCGGCACUCAUCCACCAGGUCCCACUCGGCCCGCUCCAAGAAGAGAGCGCUGUCCUUGUCCCCGCUGUCCGAUGGCAUCGGGAUAGAUUUC